This 73-nucleotide transfer RNA is filed under the name Anaerolineales bacterium. RNAcentral describes it as "tRNA-Arg". It matches the Rfam family "tRNA". From Rfam's summary of the family: Transfer RNA (tRNA) molecules are approximately 80 nucleotides in length. Their secondary structure includes four short double-helical elements and three loops (D, anti-codon, and T loops). Lineage: Bacteria; Bacillati; Chloroflexota; Anaerolineae; Anaerolineales. The record is from RNAcentral.
GCACCCGUAGCUCAACGGAUAGAGCGUCUGACUUCGAAUCAGCAGGCUGGGGGUUCGAAUCCCUCCGGGUGCG